RNAcentral lists this ribosomal RNA (139 nucleotides) under Grosmannia chlamydata. RNAcentral's name for it is "partial 28S ribosomal RNA". It matches the Rfam family "Eukaryotic large subunit ribosomal RNA", at positions 1 to 140 of the family's 3401-position model. The record is from RNAcentral. Lineage: Eukaryota; Fungi; Ascomycota; Sordariomycetes; Ophiostomatales; Ophiostomataceae.
GUUGACCUCGGAUCAGGUAGGAUUACCCGCUGAACUUAAGCAUAUCAAUAAGCGGAGGAAAAGAAACCAACAGGGAUUGCCCCAGUAACGGCGAGUGAAGCGGCAACAGCUCAGAUUUGGAAUCUGGCCUUCGGGUCCG